AUUGAACGCUGGCGGAUUGCUUUACACAUGCAAGUCGAACGGCAGCACGGGGGCAGCCCUGGUGGCGAGUGGCGAACGGGUGAGUAAUACAUCGGAACGUGCCCGGUCGUGGGGGAUAACGUAGCGAAAGUUACGCUAAUACCGCAUACGAUCUGAGGAUGAAAGCGGGGGACCUUCGGGCCUCGCGCGAUCGGAGCGGCCGAUGUCAGAUUAGGUAGUUGGUGGGGUAAAGGCCUACCAAGCCGACGAUCUGUAGCUGGUCUGAGAGGACGACCAGCCACACUGGGACUGAGACACGGCCCAGACUCCUACGGGAGGCAGCAGUGGGGAAUUUUGGACAAUGGGCGCAAGCCUGAUCCAGCCAUUCCGCGUGCAGGACGAAGGCCUUCGGGUUGUAAACUGCUUUUGUACGGAACGAAAAGGCUCUGGCUAAUACCUGGGGCUCAUGACGGUACCGUAAGAAUAAGCACCGGCUAACUACGUG
RNAcentral lists this ribosomal RNA (484 nucleotides) under uncultured bacterium. RNAcentral's name for it is "partial 16S ribosomal RNA". It matches the Rfam family "Bacterial small subunit ribosomal RNA", at positions 30 to 507 of the family's 1533-position model. The record is from RNAcentral.